This 383-nucleotide ribosomal RNA is filed under the name uncultured eukaryote. RNAcentral's name for it is "bacterial SSU rRNA". It matches the Rfam family "Eukaryotic small subunit ribosomal RNA", at positions 592 to 984 of the family's 1831-position model. The record is from RNAcentral.
CAAUAGCGUAUAUUAAAGUUGUUGCAGUUAAAAGCUCGUAGUUGGAUCUCAGGGUGAGCUCAGUUGGUCGGCCUACUGGUCAGAACUGGCUGACUCUCCCUUGUUUCUGAAUCCCGGUCGUCGUUAACUCGUUGGCUGUGGACUUCAGAUCGUUUACCUUGAAAAAUUAGAGUGUUCAAAGCGGGCGUUUGCUUGAAUACAUUAGCAUGGAAUAAUGGAAUAGGACCCUGGUUCUAUUUUGUUGGUUUUGAGGACCAGAGUAAUGAUUAAUAGGGAUAGUUGGGGCGAUUCAUAUUUAAUUGUCAGAGGUGAAAUUCUUGGAUUUAUGAAAGAUGAACUUCUGCGAAAGCAUUUGCCAAGGAUGUUUUCAUUUAAUCAAGAAC